ACAGAGGUGGCAAGCGUUGUUCGGAAUUAUUGGGCGUAAAGAGCACGUAGGCGGCCCUACAAGUCAGCUGUGAAAUCCUUCUGCUCAACGGAAGAACGGCAGUUGAUACUAUAGGGCUGGAGUGCGGGAGGGGAGAGUGGAACUUCUGGUGGAGUGGUGAAAUGCGUAGAGAUCAGAAGGAACAUCAGCGGCGAAGGCGACCCGCUGGCCCGUAACUGACGCUGAGGUGCGAAAGCUUGGGGAGCGAACGG
This 251-nucleotide ribosomal RNA is filed under the name uncultured prokaryote. RNAcentral describes it as "partial 16S ribosomal RNA". It matches the Rfam family "Bacterial small subunit ribosomal RNA", at positions 525 to 775 of the family's 1533-position model. The record is from RNAcentral.